AUACGGAGGGUGCAAGUUUCGUUAAUCGGAAUCACUGGGCGUAAAGCGCGCGUAGGCCGCCUUUUAAGUCGGACGUGAAAGCCCUCGGCUCAACCGAGGAACUGCGUUCGAAACUGGGAGGCUUGAGUCCUGGAGAGGGUGGCGGAAUUCCGGGUGUAGGAGUGAAAUCCGUAGAUAUCCGGAGGAACACCGGUGGCGAAGGCGGCCACCUGGACAGGUACUGACGCUGAGGCGCGAAAGCGUGGGGAGC
This 250-nucleotide ribosomal RNA is filed under the name uncultured bacterium. RNAcentral describes it as "partial 16S ribosomal RNA". It matches the Rfam family "Bacterial small subunit ribosomal RNA", at positions 523 to 769 of the family's 1533-position model. The record is from RNAcentral.